GUCCACGCCGUAAACUAUGAUUACUCGUUAUUAGCGAUAUACAGUUAGUGACUAAGCGAAAGUGAUAAGUAAUCCACCUGGGGAGUACGAUCGCAAGGUUGAAACUCAAAGGAAUUGACGGGGGCCCGCACAAGCGGUGGAGCAUGUGGUUUAAUUCGAUGAUACGCGAGGAACCUUACCAGGGCUUGAAAGUUAGUGACCGGAGUGGAAACACUCUUUUCAGCAAUGACACGAAACUAGGUGCUGCAUGGCUGUCGU
This 258-nucleotide ribosomal RNA is filed under the name uncultured bacterium. Its description in RNAcentral is "partial 16S ribosomal RNA". It matches the Rfam family "Bacterial small subunit ribosomal RNA", at positions 793 to 1055 of the family's 1533-position model. The record is from RNAcentral.